GGGAAGCAGAGACGCAUAGUGGUGGCUUCUCCAACACUCCGUCCUGUGUCUCCAGAAAAGGCAACAUCAUUUGCAGCAAGCGACCUUCCGAGAGCAAAGAGGAAGCUGCCGUGCUUUCCAAGGCGAUGUGGGCAAGGCUGCCGCUCCUCGCUUGCCCCCUUUCAGAGAGCUGGAAGCCAAGGAGAAAUGGAUGUGCGGCGGCUCCGCUGUGAACAGAGAUCACGAGCGCGACUCACUCAACAACUAGCCAGCCACGACGGUGACAGCCCCAAGCGUCGCAGUGGGAGCGCGGAGUGCCUCCAGCUCUCCCAUUGGCUAGCUCCGUUUGGAAACGUCAUGAAGGAGGUGUGGCUUUCAUCAGCUGUUUGGGUAAUGCCAGGAAGCAAGUGUAUUUUGGAAACAAUGCCGUGUGGUGCAGGCGUCGGCGGCGCCUGAGGUUGCAGCCCGGGGACUUUCCGGCUCCCGCUCUUUCCGCUGGCCGCUCCUUCUGGCGCAGCUGCAACUGAGGGUUCCGCUUUUGGGGGUUCGCGGAGCCCGUCUUGGAAAGCGCGGGCUCACUUUCUGUCUUUCGUCUACGUCGGACGUCGCUGGCUGCAGAGCCCCAACAGCACAUCUGCCCACGUGUCGUCGCGACGGGGGCAGCAGGUGAAAUGGAUCCUCCUGGUUACCUGGAGGAUGACUUCUCCAACCUGGAUGGCUUGGAUGAUGAUGUGUUCCAUGCGGAGAACUGUGGACUUGUCGCUCAGGCCAGCGAGAUGCCCUUUCCUGGCAUUUUCACACAGAGCAAAUCUUACAGCUGCCUCCUGGGAAGGUUCCAGCUUUUCCCACUUACCCAUUGUUGUGGUCCAGGCCCCAGGCACGCCAAGCAGCAAGACAAGGCAACUCAAACACUCUCUCUACCAUCUUCCAGCCAGGAUGUCAUGUUACCUUGUGGUGUCACUGAAGAACCACAGAGACUCUUCUAUGGGAAUGCUGGGUACCGUUUACAUGUCAACCCAAUUGGUUUCUCACUGAAUCCACACCUCCAGGAGGAGCCUCGGGAAAGUCCACAGGAACUGCAUACUGAAGUUCAAAUAGCACGGAAGUUACAGUGCAUCGCAGACCAGUUCCACAGGCUUCACCUACAGAGGCACCAGCAGAACAGAAAUCACGUCUGGUGGCAGAUUCUUCUCUUCCUCCAUAACAUGGCCUUGAACAUGGAGGCCCAUGGACACCGUGCAGGUCGGAGGUGAGACUUGCCCCGCCUCUUCCAGGUCACAUCCAGGCUGCUGGGAGCACUGAACAAAUCCAGGGCAGAGAUGGCAUGCCGCUGGACAGAUGUGAGGUUCCUGUGAAGCUGAGGACACUUGUUUAAAGGAUUUGCGUUCUCUCUUUGGGCUUCCUGACUUCUGAGAUGGGUAUUUUUAUUCUGAAGAGCACUAAUGCAGUUUCAGGGAGCCAGCUAUGGGCCUACACAACCUGGAAAGCAACUGUUACUGUUAUGCAAGUAUUUGUACAGGUGAACCCCAUUAUCCACACAGGUUUCAUUCUCUGCUACAACUGCAGAUAACGGAACUGUGGAUAACGAGGCAUUGAGGCAAUGGGACUCCAAGGUGGGGGUUGGUUCCUGGAGGCUUGAAAAAUGGCAGAAAAUAGUAAAAACUGGCCCUAAAUAUGGGAGGAGGGAGUGCCCUACCAUGCUUUGUAGGUCUCUGGUGGUCCAACAAUGCUCCUCAAAAGUCCCAACUGUGCCAUGUUCCUGUGAAAAUCUUUUUGGGGAGGUUAAAAAAUGAGCCACAAAAUGGCUCCUUUCCUCAAAAUGGUGGCAGGAAAUGAACUCGGAAGUAAUUUCUGUUUACUCCAAAAUGGCAGAUAGGUGGAAAUUAACUCUCCCUCGCCCCCACGUAUCCUGGGACAGUGUAUAGUCAGGUCCACCUGUAUGUAACUUCUUGCUGUGCAAAGUGUUUCCUAAUUCUUAUUGUCUUGCAUCUUCACAACAUUCAUGUGAAACAAGAAAGGUAGACUUGCCUGGUAUGUCUUGUGUGGGGGACAAAAGAGGACCAAGCUCCUGUCCAUUGUAUAGAAGAGGGAAUUUUAGCAGGUCCAGCUUUAAUACAGGUGUGAGGAAAAAGCUUAAAUUUCAUCUGAGGCAUAUCUGUUAUAGGCAGAGGAAUCCUGUUCUCCCUUUCCCUCUCCUCAUCUUCUUGUUUUCCCAUGUAAAUGAAGGGAUUUUAACGUAAGCAGCCACCUGCCAACACGCGCCCCGCCCCCAAUGCCUUUAAACAUCAUAUUCAGCACAUUGUUCUAAACUCACGGUAGGCAACACUAUAUUCACUUCAGUCUGCUUGAGCGAAGGGACUGUAAUGUUCUUCAUAACAACAGCCCUGCUGGAUCAAGCCCAUGGCCUAUCUAGCCCAGCAUCCUGUUCUCCUCCUUGGCCCACCAGAUGCCUCUGGGAAGCCCACAGGGCAUGCCCUCUCUCCUGCUGUUGCUCCCCUGCAACUGGUAUGCACAGGAAUCUAGGGAUAUGCAUGAACUUCGGUUUCUGCAGUGGUUCGAAGCCGGACCAGUUCAGCAGGUCGAGUGCGGCGUGGUGGCAAGGGCGAGUGGCACCUUUAAAAGUGAGGACCAGGUCCUUGCCUGCUCCACACAGCUUCCUACUGUGGUGUUGUGCACCCCCCAUCAGCCCACUCACAGUGGCAGCGCACCGCUGUCUCGCACAUGACCACUGCACAUCCAUGACAGUCACUUGUGUGGUCAGCAAGGUUGCUGACCACACAAAUGGCUGCUGCACAUGCAUGAUGGCACCACGAGUGGGCUGAUGGGAGCACCAUCGCUGCACACUGGCUGAUGGGGGGUGGGGCGACACUGCAGCUGGAAGCUGAGUGGAACAGCAGUGGAACAGCCUGCUGUCCUCACUUUUAAAGGUGCUGCUUGCCACCAUGCUUCGCUCGACCUGCCGAAAUGGUUUCGCCAGACCCGCUGAACCGCUUUGGCUUCAAACCAGUGCAUGAACUGAGGUUUGUGCACUUCCCUACUUGCCUCUGAGUCUAGAGGUGGCCUAUAGCCCUCAGACUAGUAGCUAUUGAUAGAUCUGCCCUCCAUGAAUUUGUCUAAGCCCCUUGUAAAGUCAGUUGUAAAGUAGUUUUGUUUUCCAGUCCUUUUCCUAAUGAUUCUGAGCAUGGAAUUUGCCUUUUUCACAGCUUCCACACACUGAGACAAUACUUUCAACGAGCUGUCCACCACGACCCCAAGAUCCCUCUCCUGGUCAGUCACCGACAGAUCAGACCCCAUCAGCGUAUAUGUGAAGCUGGGGCUUUUUACCCCAGUGUGCAUCACUUCACACUUGCUUACAUUGAACCUCAUUUGCCAUCUUGUUGUCCAGUCCCCGCCCCCGAGAGAUCCUUUUGGAAACACCUCACAAUCUGUUUUGGAUUUUACUAUAAUUUGGUGUCAUCUGCAAAUCUGGCCACCUUGCUGCUUACCCCAACUUCUAGAUCAUUUAUCAAUAAAUUAACAAGUUGUUCUGAUAAGAACUAAUUUGCCUACUUUCCUUUCACUAUGAUCUUCAUUGAUUAUUACCUUCUUCACAAGAUAGCCCAUUUCAGCCUUAAAUGUUCACACAUAUACCGUCUUGAAUUGGGGUGGAUGACAUCAUCACAAACUACGCUGUUGAAGGUGUCUGUAUGUGUUCUUACAGCUGUAGCAAAUUUGGUUUAAAUUGGUUAGGUAGUACACAAGUUGGCCCACUUGCACCUCAAAUGUUUACACGUCUGCCAUCUUGAAUUGGGGUGGAUGACAUCAUCACAAACUCUGCUGCUGAGGUGUCACUACAACUGUACCCAAUUUGGUUCAUAUUGGUACAGGCAUUGGAAAGUUGAUGGAGGUAGGAUGCACGUACACACACACACACGAUGCUGGAUGAUCUCAUAAGCUUACUUUCCCUAAGGAAAGUAGGCUAAAAAGCACUGGUCCCAGUAUAGAUCCCCAGGGGACCCCACUUCUUCCCUCCAUUGUGAAAACUGUCCAUUUAUUCCUACCCUCUGUUUCCUGUCCUUCAACCAGUUACCUGUCCGCUUAUCCUGUGACUGCUAGGUUUACUGAAGAGCCUUGGAUGAGAAACUCUGUUGAAAGCCUUUUGGAAGUCCAAGUAUACUGUGUCAACCUCUCCCCUCUUAAGAUAAAUGCUCUGGUCCAAUUGACAUAAAGAUGGCCAAAGGUUUUGAAAAAGGCUUGAAGAUGGGUUCCUAGGCAAAGCACCUGAGGGAGCUGUAUAUCUGCCUUCCUUGGGUACUUUUGAAAAUUCUGUUACUAAAAUGUAGCCACCAAAAAAAAUUAAGCCACAUUUACUAUAAAAUGUUGGUGUUACGGCUUUUUGUAAUUAUCUCCCUUUUAAAUGAUGUGUAUUUUAAAGGGGGGAUUUUAAAUCUGAUUUGUGUGGAAUACCAUGUAAAGAAUAAUCUGAGGGGGGGGGGUGUCUGUCUCACUGGACUCUGACUUUUUAUAGAAGAAACUAACUUUGGAUUAGCCAGUUGCACUGGGAAAGCAGGUGGAUGAUAGAGAAAGCUCUCCACGUUUUUAAAAAUUCUUAAUUAUAGUAUGUUCAUGUUGUAUACAUCUUAGAUUUCUUCCAGCUGAGGGACUGACUUUCUUGCAAGAUCCUUGGCAAACAUGGUCCUGAAGUGCACAGACCUCUCCUUUCCCAUGGACUGAGACCCAGUGAGAAUGUAGCAUUUUGUCUAUCCCGGUUGUGUGCCUUCAGGACUCCUCUGCCUUGACCAUUGGUGACUCAGAGGAGCUCCCUUUUUGUAUAUUUAAAGUAUAUUUUCUUCUGGCUUUUUCUGUUUGGUGCUUUUAAACAUAUUUGAAAUUCAUCUUGGUUCCCCCCACCCCACCCCUUAACUGGUACAAUUUAAUAAAAUGGUUAAAUCAAA
Molecule: RNA transcript, 4913 nt
Organism: Hemicordylus capensis (graceful crag lizard)
Lineage: Eukaryota; Metazoa; Chordata; Lepidosauria; Squamata; Cordylidae
Gene: BMF
Gene name: Bcl2 modifying factor
Exons: 5
Source: RefSeq, a predicted model, not a curated record